CUCAUUCAUGGGACUGAGUACCUGCACGUAAUGCAAGUGUUCCUCAUGUGUUUUCCUGAAUAUUGUCAUCAUUUUCAAAUGGGUCAAUGUCAAUCAAGAGUGAAAGAUGGAAAACUGGGAUAGGAAAAACCAGAACAGGGUUUUAAAGGGUUGGUGAUGGAAAUCCAAAACAAUAGAGAAGUGAUGGGGUGGGAUUCUCUACAUGGGUCCAUAAAGGAGCUAAGUGGCUUUUGUAACUGACCCAGAGGAGGGCUGGCUCUUCCACCCCAGACUUCAGCAAACCCAAGCAAUAGUGAUAUCAGUGGCCCAAGCUGAGGAGCUUUCAUAAAAAUAUGUUCUCCCUCACCCUUUCUUAUUGUUGUAAUUCUUCGCACAGGCUGCACAUUAUGUCUAUAUGCUUCUGAACGAAGCAGGGUUUUCAGGGUGUUGCACCAGGUCAGUCCCUCACUCUCACUAGCCAAUGCGUAUCUCCACUUCUCUUGCAGCUGCAGUGGUUGUCUUCUGUCCAAAGUCCUUGAGUCUCAUCAUACAGAAGGGUACUCUUUUUCACCCAGAUUAAGGGAACUUUGCAGUGCCGUGGCUUUGGGGGUGAGCACUGCUGUCAACAGUCCGGUUGUUCGCCUUGUUCCAGCCUGCAAGAUGACCGAGGGCCACAGUAUCAGAACUGAGGAGCAGGUUGCAGUCGUGACUUUGAUACUGCAGUCCCCCGAACCCCAGAGGGUUUUGCCGGUGCGGUGCCCUGGGACAGCCCCGGGGGCAGCCGGCGGCGUCACCUUGGACAGCACCGGGAGAGCGCGGAUUGAUGGCGGUCCCGGUCCCCUCGCCCGCAGCCGGCGUCAAAGCAACACGGAGACCCAAGAGAAGGUCUCUUGGAAGAGGAGCAGAGCCGGCUGAUGAUACUUUUUCAGCAGUAGAAGCAGCAGCUUUUCUGGGCUUGAUCCCCACAAUGCUGACUGCCCCUGGCUUCUCCUGCUGUCACCUGGAAUGGGGUGAGCUGCACCUUGUGGGGUCAGGACCUCUUGAGGGGGUGGUAAGGGAGCUGCUGGGUGCUCCUGCUCUCACCUAUAGUGCAAUGGUGGCAACACUAGGACCCCGGGUAACUGGACGUGGAGGCAGCCAGCUGGGCCUUGCAAGGGAACUGGCUCCUUUUUACUGGAGAAUGACUGCACAGCAGUAAUUAUAGAUUCAAUAAUUCCUCCACUAUCUUCAGCUUCAUUUAAUUCCCCCCUUAACAGAUGUCUGCUACGGAGGAGAAGAAAAGAGAAGAGCUUUUCUGUUACAGGGAUUUUUUGGGCACCUUAAGCAAUGGCUAUAAAGUAGAGGAGGUGGAUUGCAACCCAACACGAUCACAUCUCUCUCCAGAGUCCUUCUCUUUGUUCUUAAUCUCAUUUGACUGGUAACUGCUCAACAGCAAUAAGAAAAGCAUUUGAAACAUCCUAUCGAUCCAGCACAGAUUUUUAACACAGGCCAGUCCAAUUAGACUGUUGUGGGUGGCCAAAAUAAGAUCCCCAUGCUCUUGAUAAGUCACAUGAAUAAAGUACUGGAUGGUCACGUUGUAGUGAGCAAUUUGAAACUGAGAGCAGGAAAGUUUCUAGCCUCAGUUUCUGUCUAGAAAAGCAGACAACAGGGAAAGGAUCUG
This 1639-nucleotide long non-coding RNA is filed under the name Falco tinnunculus (common kestrel). RNAcentral describes it as "lncRNA (ENSFTIG00000010758.1)". Lineage: Eukaryota; Metazoa; Chordata; Aves; Falconiformes; Falconidae. The record is from RNAcentral.